AACGAACGCUGGCGGCAGGCUUAACACAUGCAAGUCGAGCGCCCCGCAAGGGGAGCGGCGCACGGGAGAAUAACACGUGGGAACCUACCUUUUAGUUCGGAACAACACCGGGAAACUGGUGCUAAUACCGGAUACGUCCUUCGGGAGAAAGUUUUAUCGCUAAAAGAUGGGCCCGCGUUGGAUUAGCUAGUUGGUGAGGUAAUGGCUCACCAAGGCGACGAUCCAUAGCUGGUCUAAGAGGAUGAUCAGCCUCAAUGGGACUGAGAAACGGCCCAGACUCCUACGGGAGGCAGCAGUGGGGAAUAUUGGACAAUGGGGGCAACCCUGAUCCAGCCAUGCCGCGUGGAUGUUAAGGCCUUCGGGUUGUAAAGUCCUUUUGGCGGGGACGAUGAUGACGGUACCCGCAGAAUAAGAUCCGGCAAACUUCGUGCCAGCCGCCGCCGUAA
RNAcentral lists this ribosomal RNA (446 nucleotides) under uncultured bacterium. RNAcentral's name for it is "partial 16S ribosomal RNA". It matches the Rfam family "Bacterial small subunit ribosomal RNA", at positions 29 to 523 of the family's 1533-position model. The record is from RNAcentral.